This 253-nucleotide ribosomal RNA is filed under the name uncultured bacterium. Its description in RNAcentral is "partial 16S ribosomal RNA". It matches the Rfam family "Bacterial small subunit ribosomal RNA", at positions 524 to 776 of the family's 1533-position model. The record is from RNAcentral.
GACGUAGGGUGCAAGCGUUGUCCGGAUUUAUUGGGCGUAAAGAGCUCGUAGGCGGUUUGUCGCGUCUGCUGUGAAAACUCGGGGCUUAACCCCGGGCCUGCAGUGGGUACGGGCAGACUAGAGUGCGGUAGGGGAGACUGGAAUUCCUGGUGUAGCGGUGAAAUGCGCGGAUAUCAGGAGGAACACCGGUGGCGAAGGCGGGUCUCUGGGCCGUAACUGACGCUGAGGAGCGAAAGCGUGGGGAGCGAACAGG